RNAcentral lists this transfer RNA (83 nucleotides) under Thelephora terrestris. It matches the Rfam family "tRNA". Rfam says of the family: Transfer RNA (tRNA) molecules are approximately 80 nucleotides in length. Lineage: Eukaryota; Fungi; Basidiomycota; Agaricomycetes; Thelephorales; Thelephoraceae. The record is from Rfam by way of RNAcentral.
GGUUCAUUAGUGUAGUGGUUAUCACUCUGGAUUUUGAUCACGAGCACCUUCCAGCAACCCCGGUUCGAACCCGGGAUGGACCU